RNAcentral lists this unclassified non-coding RNA (225 nucleotides) under plant metagenome. RNAcentral describes it as "partial contains small subunit ribosomal RNA, internal transcribed spacer 1, and 5.8S ribosomal RNA". The record is from RNAcentral.
UCUCCGUUGGUGAACCAGCGGAGGGAUCAUUACAGGACUCGCAAGACUCCUACAACCCUGUGAACUUAACUCUAAGCACGUUGCUUCGGCGGGUGUCUCGGAGGGGGUUCUCCCUCCCCGAGACGCUAAACCCGCCGGCAGCCUACUAUACUCUGUCUCUUUGCGUUGGCAUCACGAGUACAAUCAAACAAGUUAAAACUUUCAACAACGGAUCUCUUGGUUCUG